GGCUGGUCCGAUUGCAGUGGGUUAUCAGAACUUAUUAACAUUAGUGUCACGAAAGUUGGUAUACCACCCCCCCCCCCACUGCUAAAUUUGACUGGCUUUAA
RNAcentral lists this Y RNA (101 nucleotides) under Cavia aperea (Brazilian guinea pig). RNAcentral describes it as "Y RNA (ENSCAPG00000004474.1)". It matches the Rfam family "Y RNA". Rfam says of the family: Y RNAs are components of the Ro ribonucleoprotein particle (Ro RNP), in association with Ro60 and La proteins. The record is from RNAcentral. Lineage: Eukaryota; Metazoa; Chordata; Mammalia; Rodentia; Caviidae.